This 585-nucleotide ribosomal RNA is filed under the name uncultured bacterium. Its description in RNAcentral is "partial 16S ribosomal RNA". It matches the Rfam family "Bacterial small subunit ribosomal RNA", at positions 355 to 938 of the family's 1533-position model. The record is from RNAcentral.
UGGGGAAUUUUGGACAAUGGGGGCAACCCUGAUCCAGCCAUCCCGCGUGUGCGAUGAAGGCCUUCGGGUUGUAAAGCACUUUUGGCAGGGAAGAAACAGCCUGGGAUAAUACCCCGGGCGACUGACGGUACCUGCAGAAUAAGCACCGGCUAACUACGUGCCAGCAGCCGCGGUAAUACGUAGGGUGCAAGCGUUAAUCGGAAUUACUGGGCGUAAAGCGUGCGCAGGCGGUUCGGAAAGAAAGGUGUGAAAUCCCAGGGCUUAACCUUGGAACUGCACUUUUAACUACCGAGCUAGAGUACGUCAGAGGGGGGUAGAAUUCCACGUGUAGCAGUGAAAUGCGUAGAGAUGUGGAGGAAUACCGAUGGCGAAGGCAGCCCCUGGGAUGAUACUGACGCUCAUGCACGAAAGCGUGGGGAGCAAACAGGAUUAGAUACCCUGGUAGUCCACGCCCUAAACGAUGUCAACUAGCUGUUGGGGUUUAUUAACCUUAGUAGCGCAGCUAACGCGUGAAGUUGACCGCCUGGGGAGUACGGUCGCAAGAUUAAACUCAAAGUGAAUUGACGGGGGUCAUAGCUGUUUCCU